AAUAAAAAUAUUCCAACAAUUGAACAGAAGGAGAUGUAUUUCACCUGGUUUUCCUGGGGAGGGGAUUUCUGACCCUGCUGGGGACCUUUCUGUGCGGGAUCAAGAGGACGAUCCAAUCUGAGGGGCAAAGACAGCCCAGUGAGGUAGUAAGUAUGUAGGGAGACUCA
Molecule: long non-coding RNA, 167 nt
Organism: Aquila chrysaetos chrysaetos
Lineage: Eukaryota; Metazoa; Chordata; Aves; Accipitriformes; Accipitridae
Exons: 2
Source: RefSeq, a predicted model, not a curated record